RNAcentral lists this ribosomal RNA (119 nucleotides) under Helianthus annuus (common sunflower). The record is from RNAcentral. Lineage: Eukaryota; Viridiplantae; Streptophyta; Magnoliopsida; Asterales; Asteraceae.
GGUUGCGAUCAUACCAGCACUAAUGCACCGGAUCCCAUCAGAACUCCGCAGAUAAGCGUGCUUGGGCGAGAGUAGUACUAGGAUGGGUGACCACCUGGGAAGUCCUCGUGUUGCAACCC